CAGUAUCUUAUCCCGUCUCUCCUUCUUCCCUCUAUGCAAUUCCCUAAAAUCUCUCAGUAUUCCCCUCUCUCUUAUUCUCUUCGCCCAAAUGUAUGAAACAUAGCGAUUGUAGCAGAGUUCGUCGGCAAUUUCUUCGCACUCAGCUCAAUCGGCAGAUUCGUCGCCGGUCUUCGUACAGCAGGUCACGGUGCCGUUGUCACCGCUGCGGCAUCCAUCGUAGUCAUCGUCAAAGGUCGCGGCUGUGCCCUCAGCUCUGAUCCGUCGUCAUUGCUCGCAGGUCCAAGGUAAUUAAGUGCAAUAUUAUUCAUAUUUGAUAUUUUAAUUGUAAUUAUUUGAGUUUUCAAUUUUAUAUAACUACUGCUUUGAUCUUUUUGGGUAGAGAAUGCAAUUAUUAAUCUGGAUAUUUGAGGGGAGAAAAGAGGAUUUGUGUUAAUAUUCCUUCAACUUCCAGUGAUCAUGCUCUAAGAAGUGCAUAAUAUUUUUUAUGUUUUGUAAAAUUAGUCUCAAUAUGUUCUGUAGUAAUAGAACACCAGUUUGCUCGUUACCUGUUUGUGAAAAUGCUCCUGAGGUUAAUAACAAUGUUGUGGGAAAAAAAUAAGGAUGAUUUCAAGCAUGUUCUCUAGUACUGAUUCUUCACUCAUGUAAAAUUUAAAAAAAAAAGGCUUUUGCUUAUUUGUUUCUCUCCUUAGCUUGUAUGAUUUCUAUUACUCACAACCAUGUAAGGAAGGAGUAGUCCAUCUAUUACUUUUGUUUUGGAAAUCAAAUUGGCAUUAGAAUAAAGGUUGUCUAGAAAGUUAUUUAUUGCCAAUAAGAUAUUGCAAAGAAUAUUGCAACUAUGUUUAUCUAGAUUUUUGUUGUUAAUAUUAAAUUGCCAAGCCCAUGGAUGAAUUUGAUAGUGGUGUUAAGAGCCCUGAAAAAGGUCAUGCUGCCAGAUGAUGAGAGCGCAGCCCCGCUUCCUGAAAAAGUUCAAGUGGGUUGUUCACCAGUAUACAAGAUAGAAAGAAAGCUUGGCAAAGGAGGCUUUGGACUUGGAAUAAAUUUUCAUUAUUACAUUUUCUUUGUCAUUUGUUUUUUUUAUGGAAAAAAUUAUGGAAGCAGGCCCUUUACUGGAUGUCAGAAUUUGAUUACGGAACUGAGGCAGAGCAAACAACCAAAGUUUUGCAUCCAUGUUGGGCAGCAUAUCGAAUUUGUGAUGAGUAUGCACUUUUAUUGGGAUAUAAACUUCUCAACAGGAGGGGUCUUACAAUUUAUGUGAACAUUUUCUCUGGUGAAGCAACUACAGAUUACCUCUUUUCUCUUUAACUCCUUUAUUUUUGUUGCAUAUAUUAAUUUCUCUUCAAGACCAUCUCAUGUGAGAAACAUAAUACUUUUUAGAUAGUUCUCGAUAUCUUGUUUAGUUAAUGAUGUCCACACUAAUUGUUGCAGAAUAAUGUGCAAGAUCUUUACAACCUUCUGUGUUUCUUGCAAGUUGAGCCAUGGUGCAAUUGGGCAUGGUGGAAUAAGUUAAUACAGAGACCUUAUGAGAAUGGUGAUCAGAGAGCAUUGAAACUGGUCAAGGCAAUUCUUAGGUCAUUAAUGCUUAAGAGAACAAAGGAAACAAAGGACAAGGAAGGGAGGCCAAUUCUUGUCCUUCCACCAACUGAUAUCCAAGUCAUUGAGUGUGAACAGUCGGAAGCAGAGCACGAAUUCUAUGAUGCCCUCUACAAGAAAUCUUUACCAGGGAGUGGAAAGAAAUUUUCAUCUUAAAGAAAACGGGAAAUCUUUUGCAUGAUAGCGUCACGUUGAAUGAACUACAAUGUUGUGUUAUAUUUAUUAUAUAAUGCAUAUAAUUGAUUUCUUUUAAUAUGUAGAAUUGAUAUUCUUUUAAUAUGUGAACUUCUUUGAAUAUUUUUAAACAUUAGUAUUUGGCAAUACAAGUUUCAUUUGAUUUUCUUUUAAA
RNA transcript from Ipomoea triloba (trilobed morning glory), 1939 nucleotides. It is a transcript of the gene named DNA repair protein RAD5B-like, with no coding region annotated. The transcript is spliced from 5 exons. Lineage: Eukaryota; Viridiplantae; Streptophyta; Magnoliopsida; Solanales; Convolvulaceae. The record is from RefSeq and is a predicted model, not a curated record.